AAUAUUGCACAAUGGGCGCAAGCCUGAUGCAGCCAUGCCGCGUGUAUGAAGAAGGCCUUCGGGUUGUAAAGUACUUUCAGCAGUGAGGAAGGUGGGUAUGUUAAUAGCAUACUCAUUUGACGUUAGCUGCAGAAGAAGCACCGGCUAACUCCGUGCCAGCAGCCGCGGUAAUACGGAGGGUGCGAGCGUUAAUCGGAAUUACUGGGCGUAAAGCGCAUGCAGGUGGUUUGUUAAGUCAGAUGUGAAAGCCCGGGGCUCAACCUCGGAAUUGCAUUUGAAACUGGCAAACUAGAGUACUGUAGAGGGGGUAGAAUUUCAGGUGUAGCGGUGAAAUGCGUAGAGAUCUGAAGGAAUACCGGUGGCGAAGGCGGCCCCCUGGACAGAUACUGACACUCAGAUGCGAAAGCGUGGGGAGCAAACAGGAUUAGAUACCCUGGGAG
This 440-nucleotide ribosomal RNA is filed under the name uncultured bacterium. RNAcentral describes it as "bacterial SSU rRNA". It matches the Rfam family "Bacterial small subunit ribosomal RNA", at positions 360 to 793 of the family's 1533-position model. The record is from RNAcentral.